This 492-nucleotide ribosomal RNA is filed under the name uncultured bacterium. Its description in RNAcentral is "partial 16S ribosomal RNA". It matches the Rfam family "Bacterial small subunit ribosomal RNA", at positions 29 to 507 of the family's 1533-position model. The record is from RNAcentral.
AGUGAACGCUGGCGGUAGGCCUAACACAUGCAAGUCGAACGGCAGCACAGUAAGAGCUUGCUCUUACGGGUGGCGAGUGGCGGACGGGUGAGGAAUACAUCGGAAUCUACUUUUUCGUGGGGGAUAACGUAGGGAAACUUACGCUAAUACCGCAUACGACCUACGGGUGAAAGCAGGGGAUCUUCGGACCUUGCGCGAUUGAAUGAGCCGAUGUCGGAUUAGCUAGUUGGCGGGGUAAAGGCCCACCAAGGCGACGAUCCGUAGCUGGUCUGAGAGGAUGAUCAGACACACUGGAACUGAGACACGGUCCAGACUCCUACGGGAGGCAGCAGUGGGGAAUAUUGGACAAUGGGCGCAAGCCUGAUCCAGCCAUACCGCGUGGGUGAAGGAGGCCUUCGGGUUGUAAAGCCCUUUUGUUGGGAAAGAAAAGCAGCAGGUUAAUACCCCGCUGUUCUGACGGUACCCAAAGAAUAAGCACCGGCUAACUUCGUG